CAUACGACUCUCGGCAACGGAUAUCUCGGCUCUCGCAUAGAUGAAGAACGUAGCGAAAUGCGAUACCUGGUGUGAAUUGCAGAAUCCCGCGAACCAUCGAGUCUUUGAACGCAAGUUGCGCCCGAGGCCACUCGGCCGAGGGCACGCCUGCCUGGGCGUCACGC
Molecule: ribosomal RNA, 164 nt
Filed under: Thinopyrum intermedium
Lineage: Eukaryota; Viridiplantae; Streptophyta; Magnoliopsida; Poales; Poaceae
Description: 5.8S ribosomal RNA
Rfam family: 5.8S ribosomal RNA
About the family: 5.8S ribosomal RNA (5.8S rRNA) is a component of the large subunit of the eukaryotic ribosome.
Source: RNAcentral